RNAcentral lists this ribosomal RNA (734 nucleotides) under uncultured Glomeromycotina. RNAcentral's name for it is "eukaryotic LSU rRNA". It matches the Rfam family "Eukaryotic large subunit ribosomal RNA", at positions 172 to 766 of the family's 3401-position model. The record is from RNAcentral. Lineage: Eukaryota; Fungi; Glomeromycota.
UGAUUUAGCCUAAAUCCUUUGGGAUAAGGUAUCAAGGAGGGUGAGAAUCCCGUCUGGUUAGAUCAAGAUGCUUUACGAUACGUUUUCUAAGAGUCGAGUUGUUCGGGAAUGCAGCUCAAAAUGGGAGGUAAAUUUCUCCUAAGGCUAAAUAGAGGCGAGAGACCGAUAGCGAACAAGUACCGUGAGGGAAAGAUGAAAAGAACUUUGAAAAGAGAGUUAAACAGUACGUGAAAUUGUUGAAAGGGAAACGAUUGAAGUCAGUCGUACCGAUGAGGAAUCAACCUUUUGAGAGUGGAUAUGUGGGAUUCAAAGUGCCUUUGUUUAUCGUAUCAUCUGCUUUUUUUGGGCGUACUUUUCGUAUGGUAGGUUAACAUCGGUUUUGAUCGUUAUAAAAUGACUGGAGGAAUGUAGCUUUGAUCUUGUAUUGAAGUGUUAUAGCCCUUGGUAGAUGUAACGGUUAGGAUCGAGGAUUGCAAUGGAUACCCUCAUGGGCUAUCCGUCUGGCCUCUGAUUUGUCACUUUGGUGCUGAAAGCGUGCUUAUGGUAUUAAAGUGUACGGUCAAAAGGUUAGAACGGAAUAAAUUCAUUAAGGAUGUUGACGUAAUGGCUUUAAACGACCCGUCUUGAAACACGGACCAAGGAGUCUAACAUAUAUGCGAGUGUUUGGGCGAAGAAACCCUUACGCGUAAUAAACGUAAUUUAGGUGGGAUCCAUUUUAUGGAGCACCAUCGACC